AAAAAGACAAACUCUGCUUUCCGUGUCUAACAUUUGACCGUCCGUCUUAUUUAAAAAAAAUAUGAAAAAAAUUAAAAAGAUAAUUCACACAUAAAUUAUUAAUCAUGUUUUAUCAUCUAACAACAAUGAAAAUACUAAUUAUAAAAAAAAUUUAUAUAAGACGGACAGUCAAACGUUGGCACGAAACCCAAUGUUUGUCUUUUUU
Molecule: microRNA precursor, 205 nt
Organism: Oryza rufipogon (brownbeard rice)
Lineage: Eukaryota; Viridiplantae; Streptophyta; Magnoliopsida; Poales; Poaceae
Rfam family: MIR812 microRNA precursor family
Source: Rfam